Long non-coding RNA from Esox lucius (northern pike), 389 nucleotides. Lineage: Eukaryota; Metazoa; Chordata; Actinopteri; Esociformes; Esocidae. The record is from Ensembl.
GCCGCAUUGGCUGCUGGGGCGCGAGAAAUACGGCCGCCAUGUUUGACCGGUCAUACUCCUAUUUGCGUAGCAGCAGAAGCAACGAUGCCAGAGCACUGUGGAGCAUACUCAAUCAAUCAAUCAAUCAAAAUUUAUUUAUAAAGCGCUUUUUACAACAGCAGUUGUCACAAAGUGCUUUACAGAGACACCCGGCCUUAAACCCCAAGGAGCAAACAACAGUAGUGUUGAAUUUGAAUACUCCUGCUCAUAUCGGUGGACCAUCGAAAGCAGGGCUCGUGGGAUUACUUUUCACAAGUUCAGCCAAGAUCACUUGGAGCUCCUAUUUAAUUCAAUCAGAGCGUCAGGAGGCUGGAAUAACAAUCCAUCGGCACUUCCAGGCCAUCUUCCGC